Molecule: ribosomal RNA, 384 nt
Filed under: uncultured bacterium
Lineage: Bacteria
Description: bacterial SSU rRNA
Rfam family: Bacterial small subunit ribosomal RNA
Source: RNAcentral
UAGUCCAUGCCGUAAACGAUGAUUACUCGGUAUUGGCUUCGGUCAGUGCCCAAGCGAAAGUGAUAAGUAAUCCACCUGGGGAGUACGCCCGCAAGGGUGAAACUCAAAGGAAUUGACGGGGGCCCGCACAAGCGGUGGAGCAUGUGGUUUAAUUCGAUGAUACGCGAGGAACCUUACCAGGGCUUAAAUGUAGUAUGACCGGUCUGGAAACAGGCCUUCCCUUCGGGGCAGAUUACAAGGUGCUGCAUGGUUGUCGUCAGCUCGUGCCGUGAGGUGUUAGGUUAAGUCCUGCAACGAGCGCAACCCCUAUUCUUAGUUGCCAGCGGUUCGGCCGGGGACUCUAAGAAGACUGCCAGCGCAAGCUGAGAGGAAGGUGGGGAUGAC